RNAcentral lists this long non-coding RNA (6732 nucleotides) under Sus scrofa (pig). Its description in RNAcentral is "lncRNA (ENSSSCG00030017363.1)". Lineage: Eukaryota; Metazoa; Chordata; Mammalia; Artiodactyla; Suidae. The record is from RNAcentral.
GGAAGAAGAUUUUGCAAUAUAAACCUAAUAUCAGAUAGAAGAUAUAUAUAAUUUUAACAUAAUAAUCUACUGAAUUUAUGCUAAGGAUGAUGGCGAAGAAAGAAGAAAGAAACUUCGCUUUUGAAUAAGUAUAGAGAGGGCUGCUGGAAAAAGGCAAAAUUCACAUGGUGACAUGUCUGAUCUAAUGCAUUCCUUCAAAAGAAAUAAAAGUGGUCUUCUAAGAUAAAAGAAGCUAGGGGUAUGUUAAUUACUAUGAAUAAAUUAAGAGAGAGGACUAGAGGACUACAGGCAAGAGAAGGAUUUUUUUUUUUUUUUAAUUGGUGGACUGGGAAAAGAAAAGAGGUUGACAUUAAUAAAGGACCAUAAGGGAUGACUUUCCAACAUUCCCAAGACUCGGGCAUUGAAACUCUGUACAAUUGUGUGGUACAUAAAAAUACUUCAGCUAGACUGCUGCAAAGUGUGAUUUGCAGACCAUCAGCAUUAAUGUCAUCUGAGAACUCAUUGAAAAUGCAGACUCUCAGGACCCAGCCUAAACUUAUUAAAUUGGAAUCUGCAUUUUAGGAAGAUCUCAGGUGAUUCCUGUGCACAUUAAAAUUUGAGAAACACUGGAGCUGGACUAUUUAAGUUCAAAGACCUGGCAUAAGACACAGGAUUCCCAACUCUCCUCACCAUUUUAUCCUUUCUCAAUAUAUUGACAGUGGACAAAGAAGAGAACCUGAAAGCCUGGCUUGUAACAGUUUUAUAUAAACAGCACACUGAGGGAAGCUAGAACAGAAGGAAAGAAAACCCGCAGCUCUUGAACUUUCACCUCUUUUCAGAAUUCUUAAAAAUUCAGACAGCUGUCCUUUUAAAAGGCAUUUUCUCUCUGGCAGUUGAAUCUUUGUAGUCUGACUUGGGAGAGGUGCUCAAAGACUCCCUCCUGCACAGCUGAGCUGUGCUGACUGUUGCAGGCUGUGAGGAGUCAAUUUCCCUGCCAGCCCAGCCUACCUACUUGCCAAGUGUGUUCCCACAUCGCCUUUAUCAGAGGGACCUCAGAACCAAAGACUGCCAGUGACUUGACACUGACUGUAAAAUCCUUAAAGAAAGUCAUUUUACUGUUAUACUUCCACGUGGAAUUUGCAUUUCCAAAGUAGGGCUAGGACAGCAUAGAAUAUACCAAGAUGUUUCUUCCCAGAAGCAAAACCCCAUUCUGAAAGCGAUACUGAGAAGAAGCUGUUCUUAUUUUCUUGAGGUCAUAAUAUUCAGAUGGGUGUCUCUAUCUGCCCUGUUGAAUGCAUUUCCUAAUCUCUCAAGGCUUUUGUCUUUAUCCUAUAUCUAGGGUUUACUUUAAAAAGCAGCAAGUCCAUUCAAACUCAUUUUCUCUCCCCUUUAUAUGGGUUGAUUUUGUAAUCAAUUGAAUGACAAGACCAUGCAAUAUCUAUUUUAAAUCUGUGUAGGCAGAAAGUAUAAAAUGAGCAGUGCUAAUCUUUUAAAAGCAGAGUGACGUUUUCAGUUUGGAAUUGAUUAGAUUGUUAGGGUAUUAAGGCCUUUGUGGUAAUUCCAUGAAGCUAGGGGAAGUUAGAAGAAAAAAGGACUUGGGUUUCUGCUUUGUAAAUAAGUCUUUAAAGUAGAUUUACUAUUUCUCUGGGGAGUUACUGUUGGCUUUGGAGGCUGGCAAGAUUUGGUAUUUUUCUGCUUGGGAGGAAAGCAAGAUGGGCCUCAAAUCUAUAUCCCAUUUUCCUCAGAUUAUCAACUUCUUUUGAAAAAUGAAUUGAUUCUUUGGCAUUGGUGGCAGAGGUAAAUUACUGAGUGCUAAAGGCAAUCAAGAAAAAGGAUAAGAAAGUAAGAAUGAAUAUUUGGUAAAUGUUAUUUAGGAAAAUAAGAGGAAAUAUAAUAGUGGAAGGAAAUAUGCUGAUGAUUAUAUAGAAAGAAGAAUAAGCCAUUUUUUUUAAAAAAAUUUAAAAUGUUCCGGAUUUAUAGAAAAACUGCAAAGAUAGUAUAGAGCUCCUCUCCCUUCCCAGUUUCCCUUAUUAUUAACAUCUUACAGUCAACUAAAAAAAACACAACCUGAAAAUUGAGAGUUAAGUUUUAUUUGGGGUGAAAUUAGGACUUGGAUAGGUUCCCAGGAAGAUGGAGACAGACCCCCACCCUGAAUGUGACUGUUGACUUUGGAGACCUGCUAUGGACAUGGAUACAUCCCAGUCAGAGCUGGUGCCGUCUUGAGCUCAGCCCAUGCCCCUCUGAUGCCUUAAUAAAUCUCUUUUGCUUUACCAAUGAGGCCUUGCGCAUUCUUCCCUCAUCAAAUCUAACAGACUUAAGCCUAGGAGAUAGCAACUCAGGGAGCCCUGAGAAACUGCUUUUAGGAGGUGAAGUGGAAGAGAGGAUAUACGUUUUUGCAACAAAGGGAAGGUAGUAGGAACAAAAGAUUUGCAGAUAACCAGAUUUACAGAAGAUUUACAGAAAACCAGGCUCUAGGGGAAAGAUAUCAAAGUCUGGACUUACUAGAAUCACCUCUUUGAUAUGCACCUCAGCUGGAGGCCAGUCUUUCUUUCUUUCCUGAAUUCCCUCAGGGCUCCUUGGCCCACACUUGGGAGUGGCUUUCUCACAGGUGACACCUUUUUUUUUUUGUCUACUAACUGCAGCCCAGGAGGCAGUAUUUCAGAGCAAUUUGAAAUACUGCUCCAAAGAGGAAAGGGGGAAAAAAAAUCAAGGUAUGUCAUAAAGGUGAAGGGUGAGGUGCAUGCAGCCAUGCACAAAUUUUACAGAGUUUGCUGCUGGUCUUGUGAGGGUUGCUACUAGUCACAGACAUCACUGAUAGAUUUUGGUGCUUUUCUAGAUAUGAGGAGAUGUAAGAAUUGGGCUCAUAAAAUCUUCUCCUUAAAAAAAAAUAACUAUCUGAAGACCUUUCUUCCAGUUUUUCCAGAGUACGGAGUGCCUCACUCCUGGUCUCCACCCUGAGCUUUGCUGUGGGUGGGCAGCUGCACUAGAGGCUGAUGGCAAGUGCUAAACUUCAGUUCACAUCACUAUGGUAUAUUUGUUACAGUUAAUAAAUUCAUACUGAUACUGUAGGGGAAAAUGUCCUGACAAAAAGGUCGAAAGGAGACACCCCGGCCAUGAUGACUAAACAAAAUCUGGCCAAACUGCCCCUAACCCAGCCAACUACCCAUAGCCAUCCCUCCCCCACACAUCUGAUUCUGUAAAACUCCGCUGUGCCAAGCACAGACCCAGAACUAGCCCAUAAAAGCCUUGUGAAACCCCUCUUUGGGGCUCAGACUCCAGAGAGAGAUCUCCUCUGUGCCUGCUGGUGUAAAUGAAAGGAUAAAAAUGCAACCUAACCCUCCCAGAACCCAGGAAGUUAAUAAAAAGCCCUAAAUGCCCUCGAAUUCCAGACCCUGUUCCCUAUAGGUAAAAGAUCAUACUUCUUGCUGUUUUAAACUAUGCGGAAGGGAAAAACAGGCCCCUGAGUAUGUGCCUCUAGACAUGAAACUUCUUGAAACUGCUUGAGAUACCAGGGAAAAGGGUUCCUAACUGCUUGUUUGGCUUCUGUAAAGCUGCUUGCAUAAGAUAAAAAGAGGAGAAGUUAAUCGACUAACCAACCCCAGUAAGAUCGGUUGCGCCACAAAAUGUUGAAAAUCCUGAUAAAUAUAUCUUGGAGACAAUAUGUCUCCCCCGCCCAGGGACAGGCACAAACACGUAACUCCAGAACAACUUAAAAUUAAUUAGUCCACGAAGCGCGGGCUCUCGAAGUUUUGAAUUGACUGGUUUGUGAUAUUUUAAAGUGAUUAGUUUGUAAAAGCGUGGGCUUUGUUGUGAACCCCAUAAAAGCUGUCCCGACUCCACACUCGGGGCCACAGUCCUCUACCCCUGCGUGGCGUACGACUGUGGGCCCCAGCGCGCUCGGAAUAAAAAUCCUCUUGCUGUUUGCAUCAAGACAGCUUCUUGUGAGUGAUUUGGGGUGUCGCCUCUUCCGAGUCCGGACGAGGGGGAUUUUCCUUCUGCUGGCCUUUCAUAAUAAACCUGAGGUCUCCAACUCUCCGAGUGUUCGUUUGGUUCUCGCCUAGUGAAAGAACUGCUGGAGCUGGUACACUGGCCAUAGGGCUGCCACCAGAGCUGAUACACCCAGCCUUGGACUGCUGACAGCUGCUGCAACAAUACAUGAUCAGUAACUAAAGAUCAUAAUUUAUAUUCAGGUUUCUUUAGUUUUUAUCUAUUGUCCUUUUUGUUUCCAGAAUAUCAUAUUACAUUUCUUUGUCAUGUCUCCUUAAACUCCUCUUGACUGUGACCAUUUCCUAGGUGUUUUUUUGUUUUUGAUGACCUUGACAUUUUUAAGUAGUACUGGUUCGAUGCCAGACAUUUGAGGUAUGCCUACAGUUUUUCAUAUGAUUAGAAUGAAAUACUGAUUUUUGAGAGGAAGACCACAAAGGUAAAAUUUCUGAGAGGAAAACCACAAAGUUAAAACUGAGGUAUGCCUACAGUUUUUCAUAUGAUUAGAAUGAAAUACUGAUUUUUGAGAGGAAGACUACAAAGUUAAAAUAUGCCAUUCUCAUCAUAUAAUCUCAAGGGUGGGGUGCAUGGUAUCUACAUGACUUAUCACAGUGGAUGUUGACCUUGAUAACUUGGCUGAGGUAGUGUUUGUCAGGUCCACUGUAAAGUUUCUUUUCCCCCCUUUGUGCACUAUACACUUUGGGAGGAAGUUACUAAAUACAGCCUCUAUUUAGGAAGCAGGGCAUUAUGGGGAGUUCUCUUGUGGCGCAGCAGGUUAAGGAUCUGACCUUGUCACUGCAGUGGUUUGCAUCCCUGCUGAGGCACAGAUUUGAUUCCUGGCCUGGGACCUUCCAAAGAAACAGGGCAUGAUGCCUUGCCUUCCUGAGGUGAACAAGGAGAGUACUACAUAAAUUAUCUGGCAUUCUUCUACACAAUGGAAAUUUGUUUAUUCUCCUUAUUUAUUGAUUUAUAUAUUCCAUGUAGACUCAUUCAUAGUUAUGUUAUGAUUUGGAUUAUAAUCCAAAACUUUUAUUUUGUUAGUCAUGUGGUUCUGGCUUUGGCCAUCUGGGGGUCUUUUAGUUGGCUCUUGGAAUACAUCAUUCCUAAAAGGAGAAUGGAAUGGAGAUGAAAAAUUAGAAGGCUGGAAAACAAUAGCUUCUAAGCCACAAUGUAUGGUAAAAAAGAGCCUAGGAUCCACAGAAAAAUGCAUAGUUUAGGGUUCCUGGUUGACUAGGCUUUGACCACCACUAGCAGUAUGAUCAUGCCUCAAAUAACUGGUGUGUACACUGGGAAUAAUACUAAUGUUUGGCUUCCCACAAAAAUUAGAUUAAAAUACUUUACGCUUUUGGUAAAAUAGAAAAUGAAUCACUGUUCAAACAUAUUGAGUGGGAAUUACCAUGCAUAUGUGUUAUUUUAUAAUGAUAUCCAAAGAUUAGUAAGCAUGACUGAUAGAGAUGUGACUGUAAAUCUCAGCAUUGCUUUUCCACAAGAUUGCUGAUAGAAAAGCAACAAAAAAAGAAUAAGAAUUGAAUGAGUCCAUAGAUAUAGGGAGUCUUUCAGGUAUCUCAGAAUCAUGUGAUGCAUGGAGAGCAGCAGAUGGAUUAGCAAAGUUCAAAAGAUCCCAUUGUCAGAUCUGUAUAGCAACUUUGCACUCAAGAGCUAUAGUUGCUAGGACCUUUGAUGCAACUCAAGGGAAAAAAAAUAAAAAUAAAAAUGCCUAGGGAGAAGCUUUUAUGGUUCCUCCUGGGGCACAACUGGGCUUAUAGAAGAUUACAGAUGGUCUCUGACAUGAUAGUUCAACUUAUGACUUUUCCACUUUAGGGUACUGCAAAAGCAAUUCACACCAGUAGAAACUGUACUUGGAAUCUUGAAUUUGGAUCUUUUCCCUGGCUAGCAAUAUGCCAUAUGAUACUCUCUCAGGAUGCUGGACAGCGGCAGUGAGCUGCAAUGCCCAGUCAGCCAUGCUGUCAGGGUGGUCAAAAGCUUGUACACUUAUAAUCAUUCUAUUCCCAGACAACCACUCUGUUUUUUCACUUUCAUUGCAGUAUUCAGUACAUUACAGGAGAUAUUUGAUAUCUUAUUAUAAAAUAGGCUUUGCAUUUGAUGACUUUGCCCAACUGAGGGCCAACAUAAGUGUUCUGAGCACUUUAAGGUAGGGGAGGCUAAGCUAUGAUACUCAGUAGUUAGAUGCAUUAAGUGCAUGUUUGACCUAAGAUAUUUUCAACUUACAAUGUGUUUAUCAGGAUGUAACUCCAUUGCAUGUGGAGGAAGAUCUCUGUAAAUCCAUCUCAUAUAUUUGACAUCCUUGAAUAGAAUUAAACAUAAGAAUUUCCUAUUUCAGUUUAUGAAAACUAGAAAUUUAUUAAAUUGUAACACUUCUUUUCUGGAUUUAGUGUUUAAUUUGGAACUGAAAAGUAGAGUGCCAGAUUUUAUGGCAAGUAUUUUUACAUGAACUGAUUUACUGCUUAUUAAAUAUGAAAUUAAUUGAUCUCUUAAUUAUGAUGCUGAGUGAAAGAAACAAGACCCCAAAAAGUGAUAUAUUGUAUUAUUAUAUAAAGUUUAAAUACAUGUAAAAUUAAUCUGGGGUGUUAGACAUCAGAUAGUAAUUACCCUUGUGAGGGAUGGUGACUGAGAAAGGCUAUGAAAUGGAUUCCAGGAAUGUUCUCUUUCUUAUUCUGAGAGCUGGUCACUUGAAUGCAUUUACUCUGUGAAAAUUUAUUAGCUAUACCCUGUGUACUUUUCUGUAUAUAUGCUACAAUUGAAAAAAAA